RNAcentral lists this long non-coding RNA (784 nucleotides) under Xyrichtys novacula (pearly razorfish). The record is from RNAcentral. Lineage: Eukaryota; Metazoa; Chordata; Actinopteri; Labriformes; Labridae.
UGGGGGUCCGUGGGAGGAGACCCUCACACCGUUUGAGCAGCGGGUGGUGGCGAUUAUUAUUAUAGGGUAAGUGGCGUGUCACACAAAUGUCCACAUGCUUUGUCAUCCCACUGAGCAAAAGACGUAUAUUAGACGUCUAGUCUAAGUUUAUCCUUCAUUUCAACGUCGGGAUUCAGUCUAUUUUUAGACGUGAUUUAUACUUCGCCCUUAACUUCAUUUUUCGAUCACUUUUUAUGCAAUAAACAACUGUAAUGUGCAUAACUGACCUUGAAAUACUGGAUUACAUUACCUAUGAUACCGUGGAGAGAGAUGUAAACGCAACAGAUACACAGAAGCAGGAAUUGAAAUAAAGAAAUAUUUUUAUUGUGUCACAGAAAUCAAUAUGUCGGCCGUGUCGCCGGCUUGCGGAACCCUGGCCCGCGGCAGCCCGUCCGCCGGCUCGGAGUCGUCGGCCAGGACCAGCGGCAUUCGGGCCACCCCGGCCCCCGGCCCCAGCACCAGCAUCAGCACCAGCGCGCCGACAAGCGGUGGAGCGUCCACCAGCCGCGGCGCUUCCGCUGGACCACCCGGACGCAGUGGAAGGGUCCUCGCGGAGGGGGUCCUGCAAUCGCAGGAAGAAAUCAUCAGGGGGAUCGCGGGGAUCAACGAGCGGCUGGACCGGCUCGUAAAUUUCCUCGAGCGUCUGGUGGAGAAAAUACAUUAAUUUGGCUCAUUGAACUGUGUAUUCACUUCUUACCCAUUCACACUGUGGCGAUGAGAUUCUCCCGCGCGAGGACGGCGGGCC